Molecule: ribosomal RNA, 492 nt
Filed under: uncultured bacterium
Lineage: Bacteria
Description: partial 16S ribosomal RNA
Rfam family: Bacterial small subunit ribosomal RNA
Source: RNAcentral
AGUGAACGCUGGCGGUAGGCCUAACACAUGCAAGUCGAACAGCAGCACAGUAAGAGCUUGCUCUUACGGGUGGCGAGUGGCGGACGGGUGAGGAAUACAUCGGAAUCUACUUUUUCGUGGGGGAUAACGUAGGGAAACUUACGCUAAUACCGCAUACGACCUACGGGUGAAAGCAGGGGAUCUUCGGACCUUGCGCGAUUGAAUGAGCCGAUGUCGGAUUAGCUAGUUGGCGGGGUAAAGGCCCACCAAGGCGACGAUCCGUAGCUGGUCUGAGAGGAUGAUGAGCGACACUGGAACUGAGACACGGUCCAGACACCUACGGGAGGCAGCGGUGGGGAAUAUUGGACGAUGGGGGGAAGCCUGAUCCAGCCAUACCGGGUUGAUGAAGAAGGCCUUCGGGUUGUAAAGCCGUUUUGUUGUGAAAGAAAAGCAGCGGGUUAAUACCCGGCUGUUCUGACGGUACCCAAAGAAGAAGCACCGGCUAACUUCGUG